AUGCCACCUAAGGAGGAGGUGGCGGCACCACCAUCAACACCACUCACAGCCCCUCAAACAGUAGAGAAAGAUGAAGCAGCUGCACAGAAGAAGCCUGUGGCCGUGAAAGUUCCAGUUAAGGACAAGGAGCCACAGCAGCCACCACAAGUCAAAGGACCAGUGGCAAAGCCAGCUGCUCCUCCACAAGGUACCAGCUCCUCUUUUAGCUGUUGCUUACAUUUCUGUUUCUGUGCUCGGUCUUUCAAGGCACUAACAGCAAAUAUAACUCUUGAUCCAUUAUAAUUCUUGGAAACAUCCAUGCUAAUGAAACAGGUUGUUUUAGUGUCAGUUACAGUAUACACUGGUGCCAGGGGAGAGCUGUCUAAUAGAUAAUACUUUGUGCUUUAAGAGAGCAAACCACAAGAACAACUUCAAAAAGCUCCAGAAAGGCCAAAGGUUACUGACAAAGCUGAGAAGUUGGGGAAGAAAUUGACAAUGCAUGGAGCCCAGCCAGGUAUAUAGAAAAUACUUACUACUGCAGCUCGACCAUACUGUAUGCUGCAGUUUUAGUGCAGUCUUCUGGUCCUUGUUACACUACUCCAGUGCGUUUAAAUUGUUUUUUACCCUGGAAGUUUCUGAGCCACAGCCUGUUUUGAAGCAUGAAGAACUAACCAAGAUGGCUGUGGUGGAAAAGAUAGCUCCUUCCACAGGUAGAUG
Molecule: long non-coding RNA, 696 nt
Filed under: Betta splendens (Siamese fighting fish)
Lineage: Eukaryota; Metazoa; Chordata; Actinopteri; Anabantiformes; Osphronemidae
Description: lncRNA (ENSBSLG00000006906.1)
Source: RNAcentral